GAUGAACGCUGGCGGCGUGCCUAAUACAUGCAAGUCGAGCGAACAGACGAGGAGCUUGCUCCUCUGACGUUAGCGGCGGACGGGUGAGUAACACGUGGAUAACCUACCUAUAAGACUGGGAUAACUUCGGGAAACCGGAGCUAAUACCGGAUAACAUGUUGAACCGCAUGGUUCAACAGUGAAAGACGGUCUUGCUGUCACUUAUAGAUGGAUCCGCGCCGCAUUAGCUAGUUGGUAAGGUAACGGCUUACCAAGGCAACGAUGCGUAGCCGACCUGAGAGGGUGAUCGGCCACACUGGAACUGAGACACGGUCCAGACUCCUACGGGAGGCAGCAGUAGGGAAUCUUCCGCAAUGGGCGAAAGCCUGACGGAGCAACGCCGCGUGAGUGAAGAAGGUCUUCGGAUCGUAAAACUCUGUUAUUAGGGAAGAACAAAUGUGUAAGUAACGAUGCACGUCUGGACGGUACCUAAGCAGAAAGCCACGGCUAACUACGG
RNAcentral lists this ribosomal RNA (496 nucleotides) under uncultured bacterium. RNAcentral's name for it is "partial 16S ribosomal RNA". It matches the Rfam family "Bacterial small subunit ribosomal RNA", at positions 28 to 506 of the family's 1533-position model. The record is from RNAcentral.